RNAcentral lists this ribosomal RNA (603 nucleotides) under uncultured bacterium. RNAcentral's name for it is "bacterial SSU rRNA". It matches the Rfam family "Bacterial small subunit ribosomal RNA", at positions 186 to 809 of the family's 1533-position model. The record is from RNAcentral.
GCAUGGCGCCCGGGCUAAAGCCCCGACGGGAGGGGAUGGCUCCGCGGCCCAUCAGGUAGACGGCGGGGUGACGGCCCACCGUGCCGACAACGGGUAGCCGGGUUGAGAGACCGACCGGCCAGAUUGGGACUGAGACACGGCCCAGACUCCUACGGGAGGCAGCAGUGGGGAAUCUUGCGCAAUGGGGGGAACCCUGACGCAGCGACGCCGCGUGCGGGACGGAGGCCUUCGGGUCGUAAACCGCUUUCAGCAGGGAAGAGUCAAGACUGUACCUGCAGAAGAAGCCCCGGCUAACUACGUGCCAGCAGCCGCGGUAAUACGUAGGGGGCGAGCGUUAUCCGGAUUCAUUGGGCGUAAAGCGCGCGUAGGCGGCCCGGCAGGCCGGGGGUCGAAGCGGGGGGCUCAACCCCCCGAAGCCCCCGGAACCUCCGCGGCUUGGGUCCGGUAGGGGAGGGUGGAACACCCGGUGUAGCGGUGGAAUGCGCAGAUAUCGGGUGGAACACCGGUGGCGAAGGCGGCCCUCUGGGCCGAGACCGACGCUGAGGCGCGAAAGCUGGGGGAGCGAACAGGAUUAGAUACCCUGGUAGUCCCAGCCGUAAACGA